GGGCCGGUAGUUCAGGGGUAUGAACGCCGGUUUCGCAAGCCGGAGGUCGGGGGUUCAAAUCCCCCCCGGUCCACCA
This 76-nucleotide transfer RNA is filed under the name Candidatus Bathyarchaeota archaeon. Its description in RNAcentral is "tRNA-Ala". It matches the Rfam family "tRNA". From Rfam's summary of the family: Transfer RNA (tRNA) molecules are approximately 80 nucleotides in length. Their secondary structure includes four short double-helical elements and three loops (D, anti-codon, and T loops). Further hydrogen bonds mediate the characteristic L-shaped molecular structure. tRNAs have two regions of fundamental functional importance: the anti-codon, which is responsible for specific mRNA codon recognition, and the 3' end, to which the tRNAs corresponding amino acid is attached (by aminoacyl-tRNA synthetases). tRNAs cope with the degeneracy of the genetic code in two manners: having more than one tRNA (with a specific anti-codon) for a particular amino acid; and 'wobble' base-pairing, i.e. permitting non-standard base-pairing at the 3rd anti-codon position. RNAcentral also lists the same sequence under 1 other name. Lineage: Archaea; Thermoproteati; Candidatus Bathyarchaeota. The record is from RNAcentral.